This 253-nucleotide ribosomal RNA is filed under the name uncultured bacterium. RNAcentral describes it as "partial 16S ribosomal RNA". It matches the Rfam family "Bacterial small subunit ribosomal RNA", at positions 524 to 776 of the family's 1533-position model. The record is from RNAcentral.
UACGAAGGGGGCUAGCGUUGUUCGGAAUUACUGGGCGUAAAGCGCACGUAGGCGGAUCGAUCAGUCAGGGGUGAAAUCCCAGAGCUCAACUCUGGAACUGCCUUUGAUACUGUCGGUCUAGAGUAUGGAAGAGGUGAGUGGAAUUCCGAGUGUAGAGAUGAAAUUCGUAGAUAUUCGGAGGAACACCAGUGGCGAAGGCGGCUCACUGGUCCAUUACUGACGCUGAGGUGCGAAAGCGUGGGGAGCAAACAGG